GCGCGAACUUCGGUUUGGCGGCGAGUGGCGAACGGGUGAGUAAUAUAUCGGAACGUACCCAGUAGAGGGGGAUAGCCCGAGGAAACUCGGAUUAAUACCGCAUACGCCCCACGGGGGAAAGCGGGGGUCUUCGGACCUCGCGCUAUUGGAUGAGCCUGCGUUGGAUUAGCUAGUUGGUAGGGUAAAGGCCUACCAAGGCGACGAUCCAUAACUGGUCUGAGAGGAUGAUCAGUCACACUGGAACUGAGACACGGUCCAGACUCC
Molecule: ribosomal RNA, 264 nt
Filed under: uncultured bacterium
Lineage: Bacteria
Description: partial 16S ribosomal RNA
Rfam family: Bacterial small subunit ribosomal RNA
Source: RNAcentral